GGCCCAGAUCGUUUACCGUGAAAAAAUUAGAGUGUUCAAAGCAGGCAGAUCCAAUUUUCUGCCACCGAAUACAUUAGCAUGGGAUAAUGGAAUAGGACCCUGUCCUCCUAUUUUCAGUUGGUUUUGGCAGCGCGAGGACUAGGGUAAUGAUUAAUAGGGAUAGUUGGGGGCAUUAAUAUUUAAUUGUCAGAGGUGAAAUUCUUGGAUUUAUGAAAGAUUAACUUCUGCGAAAGCAUCUGCCAAGGAUGUUUUCAUUAAUCAAGAACGAAAGUUAGGGGAUCGAAGACGAUCAGAUACCGUCGUAGUCUUAACCAUAAACGAUGCCGACCAGCGAUUAGGAGACGUUGAAUACAAAACACCACCAUCGGCGCGGUCGUCCUUGGCGUCUGUCCCUUUCAACGGGGGCAGGCGCGAGGGCGGUUUAGCCCGGUGGCACCGGUGAAUGACUCCCUAGCAGCUUGUGAGA
RNAcentral lists this ribosomal RNA (466 nucleotides) under Acanthamoeba sp. Its description in RNAcentral is "SSU rRNA". It matches the Rfam family "Eukaryotic small subunit ribosomal RNA", at positions 740 to 1095 of the family's 1831-position model. The record is from RNAcentral. Lineage: Eukaryota; Discosea; Longamoebia; Acanthamoebidae.